GAUGAACGCUAGCUACAGGCUUAACACAUGCAAGUCGAGGGGCAGCAGGGAUUUAGCUUGCUAAAUUCGCUGGCGACCGGCGCACGGGUGCGUAACGCGUAUCCAACUUUCCCGUUACUCUCGGAUAGCCUUCCGAAAGGGAGAUUAAUACGAGAUGGUGUUUUAAUUCCGCAUGUUAUUUGAACUAAAGAUUUAUCGGUAACGGAUGGGGAUGCGUACCAUUAGAUAGUAGGCGGGGUAACGGCCCACCUAGUCGACGAUGGUUAGGGGUUCUGAGAGGAAGGUCCCCCACACUGGAACUGAGACACGGUCCAGACUCCUACGGGAGGCAGCAGUGAGGAAUAUUGGUCAAUGGCCGAGAGGCUGAACCAGCCAAGUAGCGUGAAGGAUGAAGGUUCUAUGGAUUGUAAACUUCUUUUAUACGGGAAUAACACCAUCUACGUGUAGAUGUCUGCAUGUACCGUAUGAAUAAGCAUCGGCUAACUCCGUG
Molecule: ribosomal RNA, 490 nt
Filed under: uncultured bacterium
Lineage: Bacteria
Description: bacterial SSU rRNA
Rfam family: Bacterial small subunit ribosomal RNA
Source: RNAcentral